Molecule: non-coding RNA, 4585 nt
Organism: Oryctolagus cuniculus (rabbit)
Lineage: Eukaryota; Metazoa; Chordata; Mammalia; Lagomorpha; Leporidae
Source: RefSeq, a predicted model, not a curated record
AUCAUGGGGCCAGUUCUGUGGUGUAAUGAAUAAAACCUUUGUCUGCAGUGCUGGCAUCCCAUAUGGAUGCUGGUUCGAGCCCCAGCUGUUCCACUUCCAAUCCAGCUCUCUGCUAUGUCCUGGGAAAGCAGUGGAAGAUGGACCAAGUUGUUGGGCCCCUGCACCCAUAAUGGGAGACCUGGAAGAAGCUUCUGGCUCCUGGCUCCUGCCUUUGGAUGGCCCCUGCUCUGGCUGUUGCAUCCAUUUGGCUGCUGGGUUGAGUCUGGUCUUCCCAACCAGUUGAUGUCAUAAAGGAAUGCGGUUUUCCCUCUGUUUCUUCAUCACCAUCAUCAUCAGUGUCUUUGCAGGAAAUGUUGGCCACCACACACCAAAACUGGCUGCUGCAGCUGGCGCGCCCCGGCUGGCGCACCGCGUUGAUUCGAAGCCAGGAGCCAGGUGCUUCUUCUGGUCUCCCAUGCGGGUGCAGAGCCCAAGGACCUGGGUCAUCCUCCACUGCACUCCCGGGCCACAGCAGAGAGCUGGACUGGAAGAGGAGCAACCGGAACAGAAUCCAGCACCCCAACCAGGACUAGAACCAGGAAUCCUCAGCAGGCGGAGGAUUAGCCUAUUGAGCCGCGGCACCGGCCUCAAAUACCUUUAAGAGGAACUUAUUUUCUUUUUUAAUUGAGGUUGAUAAACAUGAUUCCCUCAGACUGAGUUCCUUGAGGUCAGAGAUGGAGUUUUAUGUUGAGCACAGAGGUAGGCUCGCCAGAUUUAGAAGAUCAAUAUAUGUGAAGAAGUUCAGGUAAAGAAUGCUAAUGAUUAAAAGAAAUAUACUUCAAAUAUGGUAUGAACAGACUUUAUAUUACAUUAAUAUUUGCAUUUAUUAUAUAUACUUAUUCAAAAAGCCUUCACUGCUAACUAAAAUUCAAAUUUAUGUGAGUGUCUGUGUGCAAUUUAGUAAUCCUAAAUAGGAAUAACUCAGAAAGUAGCAUUGUGGUACAUGAAAAAUAUUUUUCUUCUUUCUAUGCUUGUUCAGAGUGCUCAUCACGUCUCUCUGAAGUGGAGCAUGAGGCAGAUCAUGACACUGUAGUUGCUCUGCUAAUGAAAGGGACUUUGGACUUACAGCUGCGCAAAUUCCACGGGAUAAGACCAGCAGGAGGCUUGGGGUUAUAGCCACAGCAGGCCAUGAAGCUGCUGCCCUGAAUGUGAGCUUCCUGGAGCACUACGGCUCAGUGAGACCAUUGGCUCAGAGUCACGAGGGCAGGUCCAGGAGACCGUGGGGGGGCAGAUGAGCCGUGAUAGCCUUCAGUUUUGGAGAGAGAACUAUAGAGUUUUUAGACUAAAGAGACAAUUUGACAGCUGUCUUCCUUUUUUUCGGGGAGAGGCUUUUAUAACUCAGUUUUACUCUUUAGAAAUCACCCCAAGUUCAACUUUAAUGUGAUGUUGAAUCUGAUCAAUUAGGAGGCAGUAUGAUACAGUGAACAACAAACACAGAACUGGAGUCAGACAGAAAUGGGUGUUAGUUCCAGAGCGCCCUGACUAGCCCCGGCAGCAGCCCCAGGAGGGCACAGACUGGCCUGUGCUUGACCCCUCAGAUAAUUGGAUUUGCCCUUCCUUCGUUCUUUAAUAAUAUCUAGAGAGUUAUAUAAAAUGCAGUUUCAAGCCUUAUCUUCCAACUAGCUUGACACUUUUAGUACUUUCCCAUACAGAAUUCUGGUGCUACCACUGCCAUUGUGAGUUCCUGAGCAGUCACCUUCUUUGAACCUCAUUUUCCUCAUCUGUGCAUUCAAAAUGCUGUCACAUACAGUGUAGCAGUAUUGUGCAGUUUCACCAUAACAGAAGGGAUGCACCUGCCACAUGCUAGGGAUUUGAUAAAUGUUAAUCUUACUAUUAUAUUUGGUCCAAAUACAGCUCCUGUGCUUUGUUCCUCUCCAUUUAUGUGAGUUUCUUUAUUCUAUAGAUUCCUCUAUCAUUGUAGCCCAAUGUAUCACAAUGACUCUUCUCCUGAUGGUUCAGUUUAUAUCACUUUAAAAUGCCUAGUGUGUAUCUCCCCUUGUGUGAACAGAUGCUCCUCUAACUUCCGACAGCAUGAGCUGAUUAGUGCAAGGGGAUCUGACUUCAUGAAUCUAGAGAGCCAUGAAAGUGAAUCAUUUAUGACAUAUGUUUAAUAUUUGGGGAACUAUGAUUAGUGUGGCUGACCACACACAUAUGAAAAAUGCUGCCAGCCUGUGAUAUUGCAGUGUUAUUUUUCCAUCUCUUGAAUUAAAAUUCACUAUUAUGGGAUUUCAUAAAUAUACAAUUAUAGUAUAAUUGAUGCUGGCUCAUUUUCAUGUAGACUAUUUUAAGAGUGGUAUCAACAUUAAAAAUAAAAAUGAGAAAAUUCUACAAGGAAGAACCCACUGCUUUAUGAAUGUCAACGUUAUGCUCACUUCUGUGAGUGAGGUGUGCAGAGCUGUUUCUGAAACCAUUGGCAUCUCAUACUCAACUGGUUUGCAACAGAUAGAAAGGCUGAGGAUAAAGAACAUCUCACUUAGCUAGUUUUAGGAGGCAUAUCAUCCUAAUGUUUUGGGUUCUGGGCAACGAUCAUUCUAGGAGUGAUACGAGAAAAGCUAUCUAACCAUUUUAUAAGGAAAUUUUCUUUCCUAUUAAAUAUUAGGAAAAUGCAUUCUGUUGAUAUCACAGUGAUAACUUUAAUAUGCUCUAUACAUGCAGUUUUUUGAAUGUUGAUUGAAGGAUUCAAUGUUCUCUUCGUUUCUUAACUCUUAGCCUUGAAGAGGGUUCUACUCUGACACGUAAGUAAACGCAGUCUUCUCCUGUUUUAGAAGAGUUCACAUUUGUUUUACUUAGCCCCAUCAACAGAUUUAUUGAUCUCUAUAUCAUUAAUUAGAAUUAACAUUGGGGCUGGCGCCGCGGCUUAAUAGGCUAAUCCUCUGCCUUGCAGCGCCAGCACACUGGGUUCUAGUCCCGGUCGGGGCGCCGGAUUCUGUCCCGGUUGCCCCUCUUCCAGGCCAGCCUUCUGCUGUGGCCAGGGAGUGCAGUGGAGGAUGACCCAAGUCCUUGGGCCCUGCACCCCAUGGGAGACCAGGAUAAGUACCUGGCUCCUGCCAUUGGAUCAGCGCAGUACGCCGGCUGCAGCGGCCAUUGGAGGGUGAACCAACGGCAAAGGAAGACCUUUCUCUCUCUCUCUCUCACUGUCCACUCUGCCUGUCAAAAAAAAAAAAAAAAAAGAAUUAACAUUGGGGAAAGGUACUGUGGCAUAGUGGGUCAAGCCACUACCUGAAGUGCAGGCAUCCUAUAUGGGUGCCAGUUCGAGUACCAGCUGCUCCGUUUCUGAUCCAACUCUCUGCUGUGGCCUAGGAAAGAAGUAGAAGAUUGCCGAAGUGCCUGGGCCCCUGUAUCUGUGUGGGAGACCUGGAGGAAGCUCCUAGCUCCUGGCUUUGGAUUGGCACAGCUCCAGCUGUUGUGGCCAUUUAGGGAGUGAAUCAGCAGCUAGAAGACUUUCUCUCUCUCUCUCUCUCUCUCUCUCUCUCUCUUCUUUUGCCUCUCUGUAACUCUGCCUUUCAAACAAAUAAAUAAAUAUCUAAAAAUAAAACAGAAAAACAUUUGAAUUCAAGAUAUGAAUAUUUCAUAUGGUUGAUUUAAUUAUUGGUAAAUAUAACCAAACAGAGAAAUACACUUUAUGAAACUCAAAAAUUGAAACUAUCUCCAUCUUGGAAAAUGAUUUUCAGUUUGGGUAAUUUAUGUUAUUUACUGAGUUAAAAUAAGCACUCAUAAUUCAUUUGUCUGAAUGCGGGUAUUUAUACCCAAGAUAGAUACCCUUCUUCUUAGGGGAAGGCCACACCUAUUUUUUUUAAAGAUUUUAUUUUUUAUUUUGCAAGAGAUACAGAAAGAGAGGCAUAAACAGACAAAGAUCUUCCAUCCUCUGGGUCACUCCCUAGAUGACCAUAACAGCUGUGUUUAGGCCAGGCCAAAGGCAGGAGCUUCAUCCAGUUCUUCCACAUAAGUGGCAGGGGCGCAGAUAAUUGACACAUUUCCACUGCUUUUCCCAGGCUAUUAGCAGGGAAUUGGAUCAGAAGUGAAGCAAGCUGGGACUUGAAUCAGCACCCAUAUGGCAUGCUGCAAUUGCAGGUGCUGACUAUAACCACUACACGACAAGGCCAGCCCCAAGGCCACACCUAUAUGCCUGAAAGAGGGAAAGAACAAUUCUGUAUCUAACUUUUCUCAACUGUGAGUAUAAUGGUAGCACGUAUCAAAUUAAAUAAAUGUAAGUUAAAUUAAGAAAUUUAACUCAUGUAAAGGGCAUAGAACAGUGUGUCACAAAUAUUAAAAUAGUACGAUUUUGACUAUUAUUAUUAUUCUACCUGAUGUAAUUCUACUUGGCUGUUGGCAUGCUUCUAAGAGUCUGUCUUUCCCUUUAGCACAGCAUGGAUUGUUCCAGCUUCCUCAGUGCUCUCUCUGCUUUUUUUGCUAGUCUCGUGGCACUCAUGACAAUUCUGCAUAUUAUAAGAAAACAAAAGCAGAAAAAAUAAGUGAUGAAGGAAGAAGAGGAGGCUGUAAGGAGAUGGAGCAGGAGAAGGUGAAAAAGAAGAAAAGGGGAAGGAAG